RNAcentral lists this ribosomal RNA (550 nucleotides) under Aparapotamon similium. RNAcentral describes it as "partial large subunit ribosomal RNA". It matches the Rfam family "Bacterial large subunit ribosomal RNA", at positions 1830 to 2630 of the family's 2925-position model. Lineage: Eukaryota; Metazoa; Arthropoda; Malacostraca; Decapoda; Potamidae. The record is from RNAcentral.
CAUGUCUGUUUGGAGUUAUAAGGAGUCUAACCUGCCCACUGAUUAAGAAAUUAAAGGGCCGCAGUAUUAUAACUGUGCAAAGGUAGCAUAAUCAUUAGGUUCUUAAUUAGAAUCUUGAAUGAAUGGUUGGACAAAGGGAAUACUGUCUUUAUAUUAAUUUUGAAUUUAACUUUUGAGUGAAAAGGCUUAAAUAUUCUAAAGGGACGAUAAGACCCUAUAAAACUUUAUAUUAAGAUUGAAUUUUAGUUAAAUUUAAUUAUAAAAAUUUAAUUUAAUUAUUUGUUAUGUUGGGGAGAUAUAGGUAAAAUUUUUGUUAACUGCUUAUUGAUUAGACAUUUACGGAUGGGUAGUAAUAGAUCCUUGUUAAAGAUUAUUGAAUUAAGUUACUUUAGGGAUAACAGCGUUAUUUUUUUUGAGAGUUCAUAUCGAAAAAAAAGGUUGCGACCUCGAUGUUGAAUUAAAAUAUCUAUAUAAUGAAGCGGUUGUAUAGGAAGGUCUGUUCGACCUUUAAAAUUUUACAUGAUUUGAGUUCAAACCGGCGUGAGCCAGG